UGGGGAAUUUUGGACAAUGGGCGAAAGCCUGAUCCAGCAAUGCCGCGUGUGUGAAGAAGGCCUUCGGGUUGUAAAGCACUUUUGUCCGGAAAGAAAUCCUUGGCUCUAAUACAGUCGGGGGAUGACGGUACCGGAAGAAUAAGCACCGGCUAACUACGUGCCAGCAGCCGCGGUAAUACGUAGGGUGCAAGCGUUAAUCGGAAUUACUGGGCGUAAAGCGUGCGCAGGCGGUUUGCUAAGACCGAUGUGAAAUCCCCGGGCUCAACCUGGGAACUGCAUUGGUGACUGGCAGGCUAGAGUAUGGCAGAGGGGGGUAGAAUUCCACGUGUAGCAGUGAAAUGCGUAGAGAUGUGGAGGAAUACCGAUGGCGAAGGCAGCCCCCUGGGCCAAUACUGACGCUCAUGCACGAAAGCGUGGGGGAGCAAACAGGAUUAGAUACCCUGGUAGUCCAGCGCCCUAAACGAUGUCAACUAGUUGUUGGGGAUUCAUUCCUUAGUAACGUAGCUAACGCGUGAAGUUGACCGCCUGGGGAGUACGGUCGCAAGAUUAAAACUCAAAUGAAUUGACGGGGUCAUAGCUGUUUCCU
This 586-nucleotide ribosomal RNA is filed under the name uncultured bacterium. Its description in RNAcentral is "partial 16S ribosomal RNA". It matches the Rfam family "Bacterial small subunit ribosomal RNA", at positions 355 to 1375 of the family's 1533-position model. The record is from RNAcentral.